GAGGUUGAAGAUGAAAUUGAAAAAAAGCAACAUGAAGAACCUAAGAUUGAAGAAUUUGAAGAUUUGAAUCUUGAACAUACACCUGUUGAAGAGCUUAUUCUAGAACAAGAAAAGCUACUCAAGCCAUGGAAGUUUCAAUGGAGACUGUAGAAAAUCAAGUCGUUCCUAUUGAUUUGAAGAACAUUUCUGUUAUAUAAAUAUUUUUCAAUUAGGAGUAAAACUCCUAUAGGAUAUCCUUGUAAAGGAUUCCUAAUUUAUGUAGAAGUAGAAUUUUAAUCCAUUUAGAAUAGGAUAUGAUUGUGUGUGUGUGUGUGUAUAUA
Molecule: unclassified non-coding RNA, 320 nt
Filed under: Hevea brasiliensis (rubber tree)
Lineage: Eukaryota; Viridiplantae; Streptophyta; Magnoliopsida; Malpighiales; Euphorbiaceae
Source: RNAcentral